RNAcentral lists this ribosomal RNA (499 nucleotides) under uncultured bacterium. Its description in RNAcentral is "partial 16S ribosomal RNA". It matches the Rfam family "Bacterial small subunit ribosomal RNA", at positions 30 to 523 of the family's 1533-position model. The record is from RNAcentral.
AUUGAACGCUGGCGGCAUGCCUUACACAUGCAAGUCGAACGGCAGCACGGGAGCAAUCCUGGUGGCGAGUGGCGAACGGGUGAGUAAUACAUCGGAACGUGCCCAGUAGUGGGGAUAGCCCGGCGAAAGCCGGAUUAAUACCGCAUACGACCUAUGGGUGAAAGCGGGGGAUCGCAAGACCUCGCGCUAUUGGAGCGGCCGAUGGCAGAUUAGCUUGUUGGUGGGGUAAAGGCCUACCAAGGCUACGAUCUGUAGCUGGUCUGAGAGGACGACCAGCCACACUGGGACUGAGACACGGCCCAGACUCCUACGGGAGGCAGCAGUGGGGAAUUUUGGACAAUGGGCGCAAGCCUGAUCCAGCCAUGCCGCGUGCGGGAAGAAGGCCUUCGGGUUGUAAACCGCUUUUGUCAGGGAAGAAACGCACUAAAUUAAUACUUUGGUGUAAUGACGGUACCUGAAGAAUAAGCACCGGCUAACUACGUGCCAGCCGCCGCUGUAA